Molecule: long non-coding RNA, 254 nt
Organism: Trachymyrmex septentrionalis
Lineage: Eukaryota; Metazoa; Arthropoda; Insecta; Hymenoptera; Formicidae
Exons: 2
Source: RefSeq, a predicted model, not a curated record
UCUUACAUUCCAAUUUUUAUUUUCACCACAGAAGUAUCAGUUAUGGGAAGUAAAUGGGAGAAAACGACAGAAAAUGUAAUGCGGUUGACGAAAUUUGAGACAUCCCGUGUACACAAUCGAUACAGAUAACGAUCGAUAAAUAAAGACACCGAGACCUUCCCCGACUCUCUCCAGAUUCGUCACAUGAUCGGCGAUCUCCUUUAUCGCGUCCACCUGCUCCUGCAGGAAUUCAGUCUCCAAAAAAUCCAUGAAAU